CUCUCUGUAAAAUGGACCAAUCAGCAGGAUGUGGGUGGGGCUAGAUAAGAGAAUAAAAGCAGGCUGCCCGAGCCAGCAGUGGCAACCCCCCUUGGGUCCCGUUCCACGCUGUGGGAGGUUUGUUCAUUUGCUCUUUGCAAUAAAGCUUGCUGCUGCUCACUCUUUGGGUCCAGACUGUCUUUAUGAGCUGUAACACUCACCGGGAAGGUCUGCAGCUUCACUCCUGAAGCCAAGGAGACCACGAACCCACCGGGAGGAAGGAACAACUACAGACACGCCGGCUUAAGGGCUGUAACACUCACUGCGAAGGUCCGCAGCUUCACUCUUGAGCCAGCGAGACCACGAACCCACCAGAAGGAAGAAACUCCAAACACAUCCGAACAUCAGAAGGAAAAAACUGCAGACACGCCGCCUUUAAGAACUGCAACACCGCGAGGGUCCGCGGCUUCAUUCUUGAAGUCAGUGAGACCAAGAACCCACCAAUUCCAGACACGCUACCAAAGGCAGAGGGGAGCUCCUAGACAAAGUGCAAUGUGCAUGAAAUGACAUAAAGUUACAGGUAAAAAAUAACGCAAAGUUUUUCUUUUUCUUUCUUUCUUUCUUUCUUUUUUUUCUUUUUGAGACGUAGUCUCGCUCUGUCGCCUAAGCUGGAGUGCAGUGGCGCAAUCUCGGCUCACUGCAAGCUCCGCCUCCCAGGUUCACGCCAUUCUCCUGCCUCAGCCUCCGGAGUAGCUGGGAGUACAGACGCCCUCCACCAAGCCCGGCUAGUUUUUUGUAUUUUUAGUAGAGAUGGGGUUUCACCGAAAAUAACUCAAAGUUUUAAGAAAAUAAAUCUAUUUCAAAAAUCUCUCACCUAGGUU
This 860-nucleotide long non-coding RNA is filed under the name Pan troglodytes (chimpanzee). RNAcentral describes it as "lncRNA (ENSPTRG00000053776.1)". The record is from RNAcentral. Lineage: Eukaryota; Metazoa; Chordata; Mammalia; Primates; Hominidae.